Molecule: ribosomal RNA, 686 nt
Filed under: uncultured bacterium
Lineage: Bacteria
Description: bacterial SSU rRNA
Rfam family: Bacterial small subunit ribosomal RNA
Source: RNAcentral
AUGCAGUCGAACGGUGAUAGCAAUAUCAUAGUGGCGCACGGGUGCGUAACACGUAUGCAACCUACCUAUUAUUGGGGGAUAGCCUUUGGAAACGGAGAUUAAUACCGCAUAAUACGAUUGACUGGCAUCGGUUGAUUGUUAAAGCUUUGGCGAUAAUAGAUGGGCAUGCGUCCAAUUAGUUAGUUGGUUAGGUAACGGCUGACCAAGACGAUGAUUGGUAGGGGGUCUGAGAGGAUAAUCCCCCACACUGGCACUGAGAUACGGGCCAGACUCCUACGGGAGGCAGCAGUAGGGAAUAUUGGGCAAUGGGCGGAAGCCUGACCCAGCCAUGCCGCGUGCAGGAAGAAGGCGUUAUGCGUUGUAAACUGCUUUUUUAUAGGAAGAAGGAUCCCUUGCGAGGGAAGGUGACGGUACUAUAAGAAUAAGCACCGGCUAACUCCGUGCCAGCAGCCGCGGUAAUACGGAGGGUGCAAGCGUUGUCCGGAUUUAUUGGGUUUAAAGGGUGCGUAGGCGGUUUAUUAAGUCAGUGGUGAAAGACGGUCGCUCAACGAUUGCAGUGCCAUUGAUACUGGUAGACUUGAGUGAGAUUGAGGUAGCUGGAAUGGAUAGUGUAGCGGUGAAAUGCAUAGAUAUUAUCCAGAACACCGAUUGCGAAGGCAGGUUACUAAGUCUUAACUGACGCUGAG